AAUCAACGCUGGCGGCGUGCCUCAGACAUGCAAGUCGAACGAUUAAAGCUCUCUUCGGAGAGUGCAUAGAGUGGCGCACGGGUGAGUAACACGUAAGUAAUCUACCCUCGAGUGGGGAAUAACGUCCGGAAACGGACGCUAAUACCGCAUAAUGCAGCGGCACCGCAAGGUGACAGUUGUUAAAGAUUUAUCGCUUGAGGAGGAGCUUGCGGCAGAUUAGCUAGUUGGUAAGGUAAUGGCUUACCAAGGCUACGAUCUGUAACCGGUCUUAGAGGACGGUCGGUCACACUGACACUGAAUAACGGGUCAGACUCCUACGGGAGGCAGCAGUCGGGAAUUUUGGGCAAUGGGCGAAAGCCUGACCCAGCAACGCCGCGUGAAGGAUGAAGUAUUUCGGUAUGUAAACUUCGAAAGAAUAGGAAGAAUAAAUGACGGUACUAUUUAUAAGGUCCGGCUAACUACGUG
RNAcentral lists this ribosomal RNA (465 nucleotides) under uncultured bacterium. RNAcentral describes it as "bacterial SSU rRNA". It matches the Rfam family "Bacterial small subunit ribosomal RNA", at positions 32 to 507 of the family's 1533-position model. The record is from RNAcentral.